Long non-coding RNA from Sitodiplosis mosellana (orange wheat blossom midge), 700 nucleotides. RefSeq lists it as uncharacterized. NCBI's taxonomy places the organism in Eukaryota, Metazoa, Arthropoda, Insecta, Diptera, Cecidomyiidae. The record is from RefSeq and is a predicted model, not a curated record. The transcript has 4 exons.
GCCAUUUUCGGAAACGCCAUUAUUUGUAGACAACGCUCCGCGUGCAGUGCAUCUUAAGAAACAAAGAGAGGUUAAAGUUUUUCGUUUUCAGAAUUCAAAAUUUUGAUUGUGCAUUUUUUUCCCAUUUUUCAAAGUAAAAUAUGAGCGUAAGAACAACACGAAGUGGCCAACGUGGUGUUUCAGGUGAUGCAGUCUCCGUUCCAAAUAACUCGUCUGCCAAUGCUGAGGUGGACAUGGUGAAUGCAUCGGAUCCACUCGAUGAUGCCAUCCAGAACAUUGGUGAUGCCCAGGCUCAGUUCAGUGCCAUCCGUGCAGAACUCCGUGAUGUCACCAAAAAAUACGAUGAUGUCAUCAAAAAACAAGUUGACAUGCAGACCGAGCUGGACAAAUUGAAAAAAUGUGCCAAGUGCUCAAAAAUCCGCAACGAAAAUUGGCAUUGUGAAGGCUGUACAUGACAGAGCAAUGAAAACGAAGGAAAAAAUCAUUAAAACAAUAACUGAUGACUUCCCCAAGCCAAUCACACCUCCGACAUCUCCGAAUGGUCCCGAAGAUGGUGCUGAUUAGGGCGAUCGAACCUGUGAUCAAUAGCAAAUGAGGCAACUGUGAGAAUUUCCAAACUGAACAUUAGAUUAUUAGUAUCGUUAAGCGCAUACACAUUUAUGAAGACUAAAAGAGGAAAUAAACACAAAACGCAUGCGUU